CCUACGGUGGGCAGCAGUGAGGAAUAUUGGUCAAUGGGCGCAAGCCUGAACCAGCCAAGUCGCGUGAAGGAUGACUGUCCCACGGGUUGUAAACUUCUUUUAUCAAGGGAUAAAGUGAGGCACGUGUGCCUUUUUGUAUGUACUUUAUGAAUAAGGAUCGGCUAACUCCGUGCCAGCAGCCGCGGUAAUACGGAGGAUCCGAGCGUUAUCCGGAUUUAUUGGGUUUAAAGGGAGCGUAGGUGGGUUGUUAAGUCAGUUGUGAAAGUUUGCGGCUCAACCGUGAAAUUGCCAUUGAUACUGGCAGUCUUGAGUAUAGUUGAGGUAUGCGGAAUGCGUGGUGUAGCGGUGAAAUGCUUAGAUAUCACGAAGAACUCCGAUUGCGAAGGCAGCUUACUAACCUGCCACUGACAUUGAUGCUCGAAAGCGUGGGUAUCAAACAGGAUUAGAUACCCCUGUAGUC
Molecule: ribosomal RNA, 460 nt
Filed under: uncultured bacterium
Lineage: Bacteria
Description: partial 16S ribosomal RNA
Rfam family: Bacterial small subunit ribosomal RNA
Source: RNAcentral